Molecule: ribosomal RNA, 490 nt
Filed under: uncultured bacterium
Lineage: Bacteria
Description: partial 16S ribosomal RNA
Rfam family: Bacterial small subunit ribosomal RNA
Source: RNAcentral
AUUGAACGCUGGCGGCAUGCCUUACACAUGCAAGUCGAACGGCAGCAUGAUCUAGCUUGCUAGAUUGAUGGCGAGUGGCGCACGGGUGAGUAAUACAUCGGAACGUGCCCUGUAGUGGGGGAUAACUAGUCGAAAGAUUAGCUAAUACCGCAUACGACCUGAGGGUGAAGGUGGGGGACCGCAAGGCCUCAUGCUAUAGGAGCGGCCGAUGUCUGAUUAGCUAGUUGGUGAGGUAAAGGCUCACCAAGGCGACGAUCAGUAGCUGGUCUGAGAGGACGAUCAGCCACACUGGGACUGAGACACGGCCCAGACUCCUACGGGAGGCAGCAGUGGGGAAUUUUGGACAAUGGGCGAAAGCCUGAUCCAGCAAUGCCGCGUGUGUGAAGAAGGCCUUCGGGUUGUAAAGCACUUUUGUCCGGAAAGAAAUGGCUCUGGUUAAUACCUGGGGUCGAUGACGGUACCGGAAGAAUAAGGACCGGCUAACUACGUG